AAUUAAUGCCAUCGUGAUAACAGGCGACGAACCAGGUCAGGACCGGGAGGUAGCAGCCUUAAGUUUGCUCUGUUAUGUGCGAUGGUACUUUUUAUAUU
Molecule: signal recognition particle RNA, 98 nt
Filed under: bacterium
Lineage: Bacteria
Description: signal recognition particle sRNA small type
Rfam family: Bacterial small signal recognition particle RNA
About the family: The signal recognition particle (SRP) is a universally conserved ribonucleoprotein involved in the co-translational targeting of proteins to membranes. Archaeal SRP consists of a 7S RNA and homologues of the eukaryotic SRP19 and SRP54 proteins. In most bacteria, the SRP consists of a 4.5S RNA and the Ffh protein (a homologue of the eukaryotic SRP54 protein).
Source: RNAcentral